Molecule: ribosomal RNA, 260 nt
Filed under: Sutterella seckii
Lineage: Bacteria; Pseudomonadati; Pseudomonadota; Betaproteobacteria; Burkholderiales; Sutterellaceae
Description: partial 23S ribosomal RNA
Rfam family: Bacterial large subunit ribosomal RNA
Source: RNAcentral
CGAGAUUCUGAAAGUAGCGGCGAGCGAAAUUGGAAGAGCCUGCAAGCGUUAGCAGAUUCGAUACCGGAACGGUCUGGAAAGGCCGGCUACAGAGGGUGACAGCCCCGUACGGGAAAUUGGAUCUGUGGGACUGAGCUUGCGACAAGUAGGGCGGGACACGAGAAAUCCUGUCUGAAGAUGGGGGGACCAUCCUCCAAGGCUAAAUACUCGUGAUCGACCGAUAGUGAACCAGUACUGUGAAGGAAAGGUAAAAAGAACCC